RNAcentral lists this ribosomal RNA (401 nucleotides) under uncultured bacterium. Its description in RNAcentral is "bacterial SSU rRNA". It matches the Rfam family "Bacterial small subunit ribosomal RNA", at positions 109 to 507 of the family's 1533-position model. The record is from RNAcentral.
AGUAAUAUAUCGGAACGUGCCCAGUCGUGGGGGAUAACGUAGCGAAAGCUACGCUAAUACCGCAUACGAUCUAUGGAUGAAANCGGGGAUCGCAAGACCUCGCGCGAUUGGAGCGGCCGAUAUCAGAUUAGGUAGUUGGUGAGGUAAAGGCUCACCAAGCCGACGAUCUGUAGCUGGUCUGAGAGGACGACCAGCCACACUGGGACUGAGACACGGCCCAGACUCCUACGGGAGGCAGCAGUGGGGAAUUUUGGACAAUGGGCGCAAGCCUGAUCCAGCAAUGCCGCGUGCAGGAUGAAGGCCUUCGGGUUGUAAACUGCUUUUGUACGGAACGAAACGGUGAGCUCUAAUACAGUUUGCUAAUGACGGUACCGUAAGAAUAAGCACCGGCUAACUACGUG